GAAAGCGCCUACAAAUUGCCCCUCUUCCAUCUCUCUAAGGCGCGCGCCCAGCCCAGAGCGGGCCGGGGCACAGGGCGCAGGCGGGAGGUCGCAUCUGCAGCUUUGGCGCAAUGAAUCAGGCACGGCCGCCGCCGCCGAGCGCGUCUGGCAUCCGGAGUCUCCCGGGAUCGAAAAUAAUUUGGGCAAAGCGGUGGGAGAUUCGUCUAAUGCCAACGCCGUGACCUCAGUUUCCCCACAUUUCCAAGACAGCCGGUGGGUUUUGGGGGAGCAGCUUUCUUGUCAGAAACCUUAGGUCGGGGACACUGCUUUGGGCCUUUGGCAAUUAAGAAACUGCAGGCGUCAGAACCAACUCUCCCAAUCUAGUGUCCCUCAUCAAAAUGGCCGGGUUCCUGUUUUUGCCUCUGAUGACAGAAAUGUCACUGCUGCAGCAUUAAGCACGCUCGGCGGGAACUUGGUUUGGAGCGAGAAGCUGGCGCCCAGCCCUGCCGAGCUGCAUGCUGUAAUUGGGAGGGGGUAGGCUGGCUGGCCAGCCGGCCUGGCUGAGGUCAGCCAGCCUUUGUCUUCGCACCUUCCUGCCGGUCAGCCUGCCACUGUCCACUCCGAAAACCGAGCAGG
This 615-nucleotide long non-coding RNA is filed under the name Cricetulus griseus (Chinese hamster). RNAcentral's name for it is "lncRNA (ENSCGRG00015031963.1)". The record is from RNAcentral. Lineage: Eukaryota; Metazoa; Chordata; Mammalia; Rodentia; Cricetidae.